Molecule: ribosomal RNA, 252 nt
Filed under: uncultured bacterium
Lineage: Bacteria
Description: partial 16S ribosomal RNA
Rfam family: Bacterial small subunit ribosomal RNA
Source: RNAcentral
UACGGAGGAUGCGAGCGUUAUCCGGAUUUAUUGGGUUUAAAGGGUGCGUAGGCGGAUCGUUAAGUCAGUGGUCAAAUUGAGGGGCUCAACCCCUUCCCGCCAUUGAAACUGGCGAUCUCGAGUGGAAGAGAAGUAUGCGGAAUGCGUGGUGUAGCGGUGAAAUGCAUAGAUAUCACGCAGAACCCCGAUUGCGAAGGCAGCAUGCCGGCUACCGACUGACGCUGAAGCACGAAAGCGUGGGGAUCGAACAGG